Molecule: ribosomal RNA, 475 nt
Filed under: uncultured bacterium
Lineage: Bacteria
Description: bacterial SSU rRNA
Rfam family: Bacterial small subunit ribosomal RNA
Source: RNAcentral
AUUGAACGCUGGCGGCAUGCCUUACACAUGCAAGUCGAACGGCAGCACGGGAGCUUGCUCCUGGUGGCGAGUGGCGAACGGGUGAGUAAUGCAUCGGAACGUGCCCUGAAGUGGGGGAUAACGUAGCGAAAGUUACGCUAAUACCGCAUAUUCUGUGAGCAGGAAAGCAGGGGAUCUUCGGACCUUGCGCUUUUGGAGCGGCCGAUGUCGGAUUAGCUAGUUGGUGGGGUAAAGGCCCACCAAGGCGACGAUCCGUAGCGGGUCUGAGAGGAUGAUCCGCCACACUGGAACUGAGACACGGUCCAGACUCCUACGGGAGGCAGCAGUGGGGAAUUUUGGACAAUGGGCGCAAGCCUGAUCCAGCCAUGCCGCGUGAGUGAAGAAGGCCUCGGGUUGUAAAGCUCUUCGUGGGAGAAUGCUGGUAUACCCUGAGUAGAUGACGGUACCCGAAUAAGAAGACACCGGCUAACUACGU